GUGGAGCAUGUGGCUUAAUUUGACUCAACGCGGGGAAUCUUACUAGGUCAGGACCAUCGAUGCGCGAGUUCGCGUCGUAUGUAUGAUUGUCGCAGUGUCGCUGCUACAAAAUUAUUGGAUGAGUGGUGCAUGGCCGUUCUUAGUUCGUGAUGCAAUUUGUCUACUUAAUUGUUGGUUGCGUAUGUUUCAUCGCAUCGUAACCGUAACGAACGAGACCGUGUUGUGUACGUAGCUACUCGCUGCGACAUUCGUACAUCGACAGAACAACCGCAAACUUGUUAGGAAGGACGCGGCAAUAACAGGUCUGUGAUGCCCUCAGAUGUUCUAGGCCGCACACGUGCUACAAUCUGAUUGUCGCCACGUAUGCAUGUAAGAUUCACCGCUGCGAGUCGAACCAACGUCACCGAUGGUUGGGAUCGUCGUUUGUAACUAUUCGACGUAACAACCAGGAAUGCCUCGUACGGUGCAGUUCAACAGAUUCCCUGGAAUCCGUCCCUGCCCUUUGUACACACCGCCCGUCGCUCUUACCGAUGGUGGUGGGUUCGAGUUGUGACGAAUGAUGUCUCGUAUAUUGUGAAUCACUACGAGAACCCACUGCUAAAGGAAAGAGAAGUCGUAACAAGGCAUCG
This 629-nucleotide ribosomal RNA is filed under the name Amphistegina lessonii. Its description in RNAcentral is "SSU rRNA". It matches the Rfam family "Eukaryotic small subunit ribosomal RNA", at positions 1176 to 1804 of the family's 1831-position model. The record is from RNAcentral. Lineage: Eukaryota; Foraminifera; Rotaliida; Amphisteginidae.